This 826-nucleotide long non-coding RNA is filed under the name Sus scrofa (pig). Its description in RNAcentral is "lncRNA (ENSSSCG00035037313.1, ENSSSCG00055016780.1, ENSSSCG00070015938.1)". The record is from RNAcentral. Lineage: Eukaryota; Metazoa; Chordata; Mammalia; Artiodactyla; Suidae.
AUCAGAAAUUGGAGGCACAUUAGGUUAAGGAACUUGCCCCAAACCACAGAGGAAAUGGCAAGAUUGGGAAAUCAGCCCAGGCUUCCAUACUUCACAUAUCUUAUUCCUCAGUAUGAAAACAAACUGCCAACAGAAUCAGGAACUCUGAGACCUGGGCUUUUCAAGGACAAAGACUCAAGACGUUGGCCUCAAAAAUAGUUGCCACCCCUGACCUUGAAUGGAAGAACUGUGUAUUUUACAAAGGUCAUGAUCCACUCUGUUGGAAGAAGGGAUGUACUAGGAUGAAAAAUGUAAGAAGAUGUGUAUAUCAAAGUUGAUGAAACUUAAAACUGAUGUUUGAAGUGGUUUCUAAAAAGAGCAAUAAUUUUUGAGAGGACUCUUGGAGAAUGCAUAGUUAACUUGGAUCCAGCAAGACCGAACGGAUGCAUUAGUCUUAAGGUUCGGAGCGGCCGGCUCACAGCGCCACCUGGCGUCCACUUUCGGAAGCGGCGAGAACAGCUUUAAAACGAAAAGUGAGGUAAAGCUGGUCCUCAGCUGUGCACGAAGGAACCUAUCUGGGAGCAGACAGGUGAGGUCGGUAUUGGGCGCCCAGAUUUCUUGGUCUGGAGGUGAGAGGGGUUUUGCAGGCCUUUUUCACUGGCUCCUGGAUCCCGCUGUGAAUCUAUUCUUUUUGAGGCUCUUUGAUUUCCGGACCAAUCCUUGUGAUUUUCUGAGCGCUUCCAUCCUGCAUUCUUCAUCAGCUGUUUGGAGGGGUGAUGUAACAAUAGUUAGACAAAUCUCAAAUUGGGAAAUUAUUAAUAAUAGUUUUUAUACCAAGGAUGAAUAG